Molecule: small RNA, 724 nt
Filed under: Pan troglodytes (chimpanzee)
Lineage: Eukaryota; Metazoa; Chordata; Mammalia; Primates; Hominidae
Description: processed transcript
Source: RNAcentral
AGGGACGCUUCGGCCGAGGAUACCGCAAUGGAUCGGGAAGAGGGGCUGAAGGCCUUGGACAAUAUUGUCACUCAAUUCAACGCCUAUGAAGAUUUCCUGGACUCGCAGAUCACUACUGUGGACUUGUACUACCUGGAGGAUGAAACCCUGGCCCGCCAGUUGGUGGAGCUAGGCUACCGAGGGACUGGAGAGAGAGUGAAAAGGGAAGAUUUUGAAGCAAGGAAAGCGGCUAUAGAGAUUGCAAGACUGGCUGAAAGAGCUCAGCAAAAGACGCUAACAAGUGCUGGUAAAGACCUACAAGAUAAUUUUCUGACGGCCCUGGCAAUGAGAGAAGAAGACAAUCGCAGUGGAAAACUGAGUGCUGGAGUGCAAUGGCACCAUCUCGGCUCACUGCAACCUCUGCCUCCUGGGUUCAAGGAAUUUUCCUGCUUCAGCCUCCCGAGUAGCUGGGAUUACAGGCAUGUGCCACCACACCCGGGGUGUACAAAAAUGGUUAAAACUCUGUCCAAGCUUUCAAGAAACAACAGUGGACAACAUCAAAUUGACACAAAGGAGAUAGAUGGAUGGUGAGUUUACUUCUCACUAAGAAGAUAAGGGAGACUUCACCUAGAAAGUGCGGUUUAAACUGCAACUUAAGCAGUUUUCUGGUAUACAGCUAGAGGGAAAGGUCAUUUCAGAGGGAGGAAACUGGACUAACAAAGGGCGAUAGGAGGAGAGCAGAAAG